GGUCGCAUAGCUCAGUUGGUUAGAGCACCGUACUAAUAAUGCGGGGGUCGAGAGUUCGAGCCUCUUUGUGACCA
This is a non-coding RNA of Hypoxylon trugodes, 74 nucleotides long. Lineage: Eukaryota; Fungi; Ascomycota; Sordariomycetes; Xylariales; Hypoxylaceae. The record is from the annotation of a RefSeq genome assembly.